Molecule: small nuclear RNA, 98 nt
Filed under: Olea europaea subsp. europaea
Lineage: Eukaryota; Viridiplantae; Streptophyta; Magnoliopsida; Lamiales; Oleaceae
Source: RNAcentral
GUCCCUUCGGGGACAUUUGUUAAAAUUGGAAUGAUAUAUAGAAGAUUAGCAUGGCCCUUGCACAAGAAUUUCGAAUUUUAUAUAUGAUGCUUUAGCUU